Molecule: ribosomal RNA, 460 nt
Filed under: uncultured bacterium
Lineage: Bacteria
Description: partial 16S ribosomal RNA
Rfam family: Bacterial small subunit ribosomal RNA
Source: RNAcentral
CCUACGGGUGGCAGCAGUGAGGAAUAUUGGUCAAUGGGCGGGAGCCUGAACCAGCCAAGUCGCGUGAGGGAAGACGGUCCUAUGGAUUGUAAAUCCCUUUAGGCGGGGAGCAAGGCCGGGCACGCGUGCCCGGAGGGAGAGUACCCGCAGACUAAGCAUCGGCUAACUCCGUGCCAGCAGCCGCGGUAAUACGGAGGAAGCGAGCGUUCUCCGGAUUUAUUGGGUUUAACGGGUGCGUAGGCGGAGUUUUAAGUCAGCGGUAAAAUGUCCGGGCUAAACCCGGGCGGGCCGUUGAAACUGGUGAGCUUGAGUGUGCGAGAGGGAUGCGGAAUGCGUGGUGUAGCGGUGAAAUGCGUAGAUAUCACGCAGAACUCCGAUUGCGAAGGCAGCACACCGGAGCACGACUGACGCUGAGGUACGAAAGCGUGGGGAUCGAACAGGAUUAGAUACCCUAGUAGUC